AUGCUGAUGCGCCCAUGGCCUGCAAGUGCUAUUGGUACUGCAAGCUUUGAAGGAGCUGAUGAGAGAUUGAAUCGAAUAAAGCGGGUUUUCAUAAAGACACAGCGUGACCACAUGCUGGACCCUCAGCAGCAAGAUUCCAUGAUCAAGAAGUGGCCACCCAGCGAGGUUUUGGUCAUAGAUACAGACCACAGCCCCUUCUUCUCUGCACCAGAACAGCUCUUUAACCUAAUAGUCAAAUCUCUAUGA
This 246-nucleotide ribosomal RNA is filed under the name Triticum aestivum (bread wheat). RNAcentral describes it as "partial small subunit ribosomal RNA". Lineage: Eukaryota; Viridiplantae; Streptophyta; Magnoliopsida; Poales; Poaceae. The record is from RNAcentral.